AGAAAAACAAAAAAAAAAAAACAUUUACCAAAUUCUUUCUAAAGCAAAAGGAGACAUGUAAGCAAAGCCUAUGCUGCUAGCUAAAUGCCUAAACAUGGAGGUAAAUCAUCAAUUGAUGUUGGACAACGUAGCCUUCACUAGAGGAUUACUAUUGAAGAAGGAGAUGCAUUUGGAAGUUAAACAGAUAUUUUCUCAAAAUUUCACGGAUUCUUCCACUGAUUUGAGGUCUCAAAGUGUUAUAUCCAAGUUUAUGUAUCCCUAUAUGACACAGGGGUUUUAGGGUCAAGAAAAUGCUCUAAGCAACUA
RNAcentral lists this unclassified non-coding RNA (306 nucleotides) under Hevea brasiliensis (rubber tree). Lineage: Eukaryota; Viridiplantae; Streptophyta; Magnoliopsida; Malpighiales; Euphorbiaceae. The record is from RNAcentral.